GAUAGUGUGGCCGAGUGGUCUAUGGCGCUGGUUUUAGGCACCAGUCUCUUCGGAGGUAAGGGUUCGAAUCCCUUCACUGUCA
RNAcentral lists this transfer RNA (82 nucleotides) under Daphnia pulicaria. RNAcentral describes it as "tRNA-Leu". It matches the Rfam family "tRNA". Rfam says of the family: Transfer RNA (tRNA) molecules are approximately 80 nucleotides in length. Lineage: Eukaryota; Metazoa; Arthropoda; Branchiopoda; Diplostraca; Daphniidae. The record is from RNAcentral.